UUUUUUUUUUUUUUUUGAAGAAUCAAGGCCCGAUCUUACCCAAGUUCUCUAUUCGAGGUACUUAACCAUAUUCUACACCAUAUGUGUACAAAAGUGUAUACAAGGGUGUUAAAUGGGUUGAACCAACAAGAAUUAAAACUCAAAAGUGCUUAUGACGAUGUCCUUUUCUCAUGCCACCAAGUAGUUUGGUAAUAUUGCGAACAAGGGCUUUGUAUAAACUCUGUCACUUUUUUUAACAAAUUUAGUCCACUGGAUCAAUGCUUGAUAUACAAAUUGAUCUUUUUUGCAAAUCGAAACGUGAAAUAGACAUUGAUUUUCAUGUGCUAAUAAUUAAGGAAAUAAUAGUUUUAUAGAAAAUGGUCAAAAAUACUUGCCACACAUUGCGAUUGCUUCCAAGACAAGGCCAAUGUUGAGAAACGUGGCGAGACAAUAUUACCCCAAUUAGAGGUUUUUUUUACGUAGUUAAUAUCGAAUGCUAUUGAUUAUGAUUUUUUAUUGAUGUUUGUUUUUGUCUUCUGGUUUUUAAUUGGUUUUCUUUUGAUCUCAACGUGAUAGAAACUCAACUCAAAAACGAUGAAGACUCUUGAUUGUGCAAAAAAGGGUUAUGCUGAAUGUUCGAAUAACACCAUCACCAAUGGAGACCACAUUCUUAUACAACUGCACUGA
Molecule: long non-coding RNA, 666 nt
Filed under: Helianthus annuus (common sunflower)
Lineage: Eukaryota; Viridiplantae; Streptophyta; Magnoliopsida; Asterales; Asteraceae
Description: hypothetical non coding rna
Source: RNAcentral